UCGUGGAUUGAUUUGUCUGGUUAAUUCCGAUAACGAACGAGACCUUUUCCUACUCGUUACUUGCUCAUGGGUUUAUCUCAUGGCACGCAAGUUCUUAGCGGGACUGCUGGCGUUUAGCCAGAGGAAGUUCGAGGCAAUAACA
Molecule: ribosomal RNA, 142 nt
Filed under: uncultured eukaryote
Lineage: Eukaryota
Description: partial 18S ribosomal RNA
Rfam family: Eukaryotic small subunit ribosomal RNA
Source: RNAcentral